Molecule: long non-coding RNA, 398 nt
Organism: Cygnus olor (mute swan)
Lineage: Eukaryota; Metazoa; Chordata; Aves; Anseriformes; Anatidae
Exons: 3
Source: RefSeq, a predicted model, not a curated record
CCUCGCCUCAUGGGGCCCCAUGGCCUGCACCUGGGCACGGGCACCUGGUACAGAGGUGGACAAAAAUAAGCUAUCGUUGUUGAAACCUUCUUAGCAGGUACUGCAGCAAAUGCUGAAAAGACGUACAAGUAAUUGUGUAGGUCAUUUUGAGAUAAGAAUGGAGAGGAAGGUAAUGAUUAACUCCAUAUUCAUUUGAGGUGCACUUAAGGAAAGAUGCUUCCAGCUGGAAUUUGAAUGGACAGAAGAGCAGCAGACUAACCUGAGAGAAAAGGGCAAUGACUUUCCUGAAAUUAAACGGCAGCUUAAUGACACAGACACCAUUGUUUCUUCCUUCAUACAUAUUGACAGCCAGACUGGAAGUAAUCCAAGCAGCUUCAUUUUUGCCUGAAGUAGCAAAA